UACGUAGGGUGCAAGCGUUAAUCGGAAUUACUGGGCGUAAAGCGUGCGCAGGCGGUGAUGUAAGACAGAUGUGAAAUCCCCGGGCCCAACCUGGGAACUGCAUUUGUGACUGCAUCGCUGGAGUACGGCAGAGGGGGAUGGAAUUCCGCGUGUAGCAGUGAAAUGCGUAGAUAUGCGGAGGAACACCGAUGGCGAAGGCAAUCCCCUGGGCCUGUACUGACGCUCAUGCACGAAAGCGUGGGGAGCAAACAGG
Molecule: ribosomal RNA, 253 nt
Filed under: uncultured bacterium
Lineage: Bacteria
Description: partial 16S ribosomal RNA
Rfam family: Bacterial small subunit ribosomal RNA
Source: RNAcentral